GACUGGAAAAUGUCAGUUUCUAUUCCAGUCCCAAAGAAAGGCAAUGCCAAAGAAUGUUCAAUACGUAAGGCAUUGAAUACUAAGUCGAACUUUGAUAUACACUCAAAGUGAUUCCAUCUCUUAGGACCAUGCUUAAUUUUCUGUCUAUUACAUCUUUCAAUUAUAAAAGAUUGAAGUAUCUCAAGGUAACUUCAUUCUAAUACAUUUCUUAGUUAUCUCAUCAUUUGUUCUUAAUAUUUUAAUUGCUUCCUUCUUUAGCACAUUUCCAUGUAACCAUAUUAUGCAUACUUUGGUAAACAUAGGCUUUUUGCCUAUUCAUAGAUCUCCCACAAUAACCCUCUCCUCCAGAAAUUCUACCUGAACCUACAAUUUCAAAAGUAGUUCUAAGACUUGCCUCUCCUGGGUGUUGACUUGUUCCAAGACCUAGUUAAGGUUGGGUUUAGAGGGAAAAAAUGAUUGAAAUGCAAAUUCACACUGCUAUUAGAUGCUUUAGGUUUUCAUUUCUAAUACGUUUUUUUCUUCCUGAGUUUUGUGACUUCAACAGGUCUUCUCAACAAUGUAGAAUACGGAAGACUGACAAGAGUAUUAGUAGUGAACUAAGAAGAACAGAGAAACUGAGUUAAAGUGAGAAAAUGGAGAGAGGCAGAAGGCACAGGGCAAAGAUCCCUGUUCUUUUUGAAGCUGAUUCAGAAAGCUGGAGCUGAUAGUCCUGAAAUCCUCUGGACAACUGACAGCUGCCUGAAACUGCAGCAGAGCCAUUCCUGAUGGGCAGGACUACAAGCCCUGACUCAUAUUCUGUGUCGCAAGAUGGGUGGAUGGUGUCACCAACUCGAUGGACAUGGGUUUGAGCAAGCUCCAGGAGAUGGUGAAGGACAUGGAAGCCUGGCGUGCUACAAUCCAUGGGGUUGCAAAGAGUUGGACAUGAAUGAGCGACUGAACAACAACAAGAUAGAGACUGAAUAGUAUCUCAAACCUGUCCUGUUUCAUUAUACCUUUUUACUACAAUGUGGCCAUGCUUAGAGUUGCUUUGAAAAAUAAAAUUUUCAUAUCAAGCCAUCAUUUGUGUAUCUUUAUAAAAGUAUGCAGACACAUUACCAUAAUUUGAACUUUCGUAAUUCUAGUCACUUAGAACCUGAAUAAAUAGGAAUA
Capra hircus (goat) is the source of this 1149-nucleotide long non-coding RNA. RefSeq lists it as uncharacterized. NCBI's taxonomy places the organism in Eukaryota, Metazoa, Chordata, Mammalia, Artiodactyla, Bovidae. The transcript has 3 exons. The record is from RefSeq and is a predicted model, not a curated record.